Molecule: long non-coding RNA, 665 nt
Filed under: Salmo salar (Atlantic salmon)
Lineage: Eukaryota; Metazoa; Chordata; Actinopteri; Salmoniformes; Salmonidae
Description: lncRNA (ENSSSAG00000087910.1, ENSSSAG00000115287.1, ENSSSAG00020074041.1, ENSSSAG00075053696.1)
Source: RNAcentral
GUUUUUCUUGAGGCAAGUCGAUGUUCGGUAACCGAAGUCUAUGCCCUUUUGUUGGUGAUUGGUCAACAGUACUACUAAUGACAGCUCCAAGCCUCAUCACCUCAUCGCCUCUCAUCCUAGCGGAAAUCACCUACUGUCUUCUCUUUCUACAUCUCUGUGGGAAUUGAGGAUGUCUCUCUCCAUCAAAGCAAAAUGAUGGUGAUGUAUUGUCCUGGAGGGAAGGUCAGUGACCGGAGCACAUGAGAAAACAAACUCAAGAGGCUCCUAUUAAAGAUUCAAAAAUGUCCGUUCAAAGGCGGUUAACGGCUGUAGUAAAUGUACUUGACAUUCUUUAAUGUCUCAUGGUCCUGUUGGUGUGAGCAGCAUACACAUCUUGGGUUCGGUCUGUUUAUAAUUUAAUUCCCAUAUAUCCAUUGUUGAUGUUUACAAUCAAAAUGCAAUUAAAAGUCCACAUAGACUGCAUGACAAUUGUGUGAAUAAUUCAUAUUUUUGACUGGCAACGUUUUUGUCUGGCAACUGUCAGAAGCAUUUAGCAAUCUAUUCAUUCAUAGUAACCUAAUAAUAACAUAUGCAGAACAUCUACAAAUUCUUUCCUCAGAGCAAUGAAGUGAUGUGACCUUUGCAGCAACAUUAACCAGUCUAAUACACAACCUGUUAUACUAACG